This 217-nucleotide long non-coding RNA is filed under the name Elaeis guineensis (African oil palm). Its description in RNAcentral is "long non-coding RNA (EGUI_LNC073590)". Lineage: Eukaryota; Viridiplantae; Streptophyta; Magnoliopsida; Arecales; Arecaceae. The record is from RNAcentral.
GGGGGCUGGAUAGGCCUCGAGCUUAUUGGAGGCUUCGAGGUCGUCCCUUUCCAGGCUAGAAGCCCGACGGACGGAAUCCCUCAGAGAGCCCCAGGGGGGUAAUCCCAGCUCCAAGAUCGGGCAUCCGACGUAGAAGUACCUCUCCUUCCAGUUGUGGAUAGAAGAGGGGGUGCCUUUCAACAACCCCUUUCUACCGAACUGGAGGGAGAAGUACCAC